This is a long non-coding RNA of Sapajus apella (tufted capuchin), 1608 nucleotides long. RefSeq lists it as uncharacterized. The transcript has 3 exons. NCBI's taxonomy places the organism in Eukaryota, Metazoa, Chordata, Mammalia, Primates, Cebidae. The record is from RefSeq and is a predicted model, not a curated record.
GCUGGGCGGGGCUGGAGCCUGCACUGGGCGACGCUUACGCUUACGGCGGCCGCUGCGCCCCGUCACAUCUAGCAAUGGAGAAGAAGAGAUAGAGUGUGCAAGGGCAUGAAGAAAAGGACUGGGACUAUUUUCAAAUCAUCAACUGCACUACUAAAAAAGUAAUCACAGAUAAGGAAAUUAAGGAGUCAAAGGGGUUCAGCAUUUUUUCCGUAGUCACAUUACUGGGAAGUGGCAGAUCUAACCAGAAUAUUAAAAUAUUUACACUGCACCCUGCUUGGCUAGGAUAAGUAUGGAACAAUGGUGAGACCCCUGCCUGAAAGUCAGAAAACCCAUGUUCUAGUCUUAGAGAGAUCAUUGAGUCUUUUACUCUAGGAAAGGCGUAUAGAUUGAAGUCUCUGUUGGGGUCAUAAUUUCCUCUCAAGCCUCCUGUUGUUUCUGAUUAGUAGACUGUGCAUACAAUUGACAUUUACUGAGGAUUACUUUAAGUAAGAUUGUCCAUAGUAAAUAUUAGCUGUGGGACUCUAAUUUCUUUCAGAGGUGGUGCUAUUACUUUUCAAUAUAAUGGGAAUGAAAAGAAAGCAUUAACUUUCAAUUCUCAAAAGAUUUAUAUAAUUUGUGAGUCAUAUACUGUAAGUAAUCAGAUGUUCAGAAACACUUAAAGAAGCUCCAGGGAUAACGCCAGCUUCUACUCUGGAGUCGGAGUUAAUGCACUUCCCAUGCAGAAUGAGCUGAGCAGUCAGAGUGCUUAUCUGAGUAAUUGAGGCAAAACUUGUGGGUUUUAAAAAUAUGCCUGAAUUUCGUAGAUAAUUAUACCAACUCUUAUUUCACUGGAGACUUACAGAAUGACCCUAUAGUCAUAGAUUAACUAUGACUAACUUAAACUUUCAGAAGAAUGAAUCCAUGCAUAUAAAUGAGGAUGUGGUAUAAAUUAAGUUUCCUUUGGGUCAUGAUUCACCUUUUCUAUCUUCUCUUUUCCACAAGUAUUAUUUUUCUUUUAUGAAUCAUCAUACACUCACAGCAAGGAAGGCAUUACAAAAUCACUAGUGUCAUCAAAUCUUAUUCUUGAUACCCUACAAUCAGGCUGUUUUGUGAGCUUCAGUUUGACUUAUGAUUCCCCCCACCACCAAAAGAAGUAUCAGGUUUUCUCCUAUAAUCUCUCUAUUCUACAUGAGAAUAGGAAGGCCGCUCUAGGUUAUCAACACACUGUUGGUGCCUAAGAAUUGCCUCUGAAACAACUGUGGUGGGAAUUUUAAGUAGAUUAUCUCCUUUGAACUUCACAGCAUGUUUAGAUGCUAUGGCUUGGCCAAAUACAUAAUUUCCCUCUGUGCGCAGGGUACCAGGAUUCACAUCUACGUUGCCUGACUUUGAAGCCCAUGCUUUUCCUACAGCUCCAUGCUUCUAAGAGGUAUUCUGAAGCAAAGUGCAAGGCUUUCUAGUUAAGUCAAGUCCGUGGUUGAGAGGGAUUGUACAAUGAGCUGUGUGAGGACCUGAGAGCUGAGAAAUGGAGAUUAUUAGGGAAGAACCAAGGGAAGGAUGAGAAGUGUUCAGGAGAAGAAGUGUGAUGGGGGGAGAUGAGAAAGCCAUGAUUUUUUUCUGCGCUGUAAUUUU